AGAUAAAGGAAAAUCCAAUUUAAUCCUAACCUGGUUUUGGCUCCUCUUCUGUGACAUUGAUGGAUUGCUGCUGACUGAUAUUUGGUAGAGUUAAUAAUACAGUCUGAAAAUAAAGGGAACUUUUAACAGUGUUCUUGAAAUCAGGAAAGAAAACUAAGUGAUCAUUCAGUUUUUGAUCAUUUCGAUUUUGUGUUCACUUCUAACAGCCUUUACUUUCAGAUGGGGUAGAGUACCUAUUCUGUUAAAAGUCAGUCCCUUUGAAGCUAUUUUGAGCAGAAACAGAAAACCUUGGUUUACUUUGAAAAACCUUAGGGAGGAAGGGCCAGGCCUGUUGCUUCUGACUUUUGCGAAGCUGAAAGUGCCAUUAGUUGCUGGGAACGAAUACAACAGAGCAAGUGUUUUGCCUUCUUCAGCAAGGUCUUGCCUGCAGCACCUGGAGCUGCCCUGAACCCUGGGACGUGUGGUGUUUGGAGGAGUUGCUGCUGGAAUGGAGGAACAAAUGCUUUGGGUUACCUGGCUGUAGGAACUGAGCUGAGCUGAGGUUUUCAGUGACAAACGGCCCAGCUGGGCAGAGCUCCCGUGGUACAGAGGCUGCUGGCUGGCAGCGGCACGUUGCGUUCCAGGCAUCGCCAGGCUCCGGGCAGCCAGGCUGGCUCCUCUCUUUAAGUGGAUGUCUGUGACACUGCGGGAUGAAUUUGGCUGAAUGCCUGUCAUGGCUGAAGGGUUUUGAAUUACUUGAGAGGACACAGUAGCUGAGGAAGAGCUGAAAGGUGAUAGUCGAUGUGGUCUGUGUUUCCUGGGCAGGCACUCAUCCUUGACACAGCCCAGUAAAGGACAGGGGACACACCAGUAACUUCAGAGCCUUUGGAACCGCCAGCCAUGCAGAAGCAGCAACCGUUCUCUACCUCUUCCCCCAGGCCCAAAGCAGCCUCUCUAAUAUUGGAGUCUUUCCCACUCUUCAAGUUCAAAGAAGUGUAAGGGAUCCAAGCUAGGAAUAGUUGUAGGGUAAGAUAAGAUGUGGAAUACAAGGUGGGAGAAGCCAGCAAAUCCUCUGUUUUGCUGUAGCAUUUAAACACAACCCAGAACUGUGCCCUGGAAAACUGUUGGAGCCUUGCGGGAGGAUCUGUGGGCUAUACCAGAGUUUAUUUGCAUUGAUUUUCAGAUAGUGUCAUACCAUAAUGGAAUGACUGCUGCUCUUCACAGGUAGGAGUUGGAGAAGAGCAGCAGAGAAAUAAAAGCAGCAGGAGAGUUGGUGUUACUUCUAGAAAGAGCAGGCAGUGUGUGAGAGGAAAGAAAGAGAUCCAGUCCAGCCCGAAGCCUCUGACUCAUAGGAAGGAGUGAGGUCAGUCUUUGGAGAGGAAUCAUCUCAGGACUUCUGCUGCUCUCCUGUAGUUUGUUCUCUCGUCCUUUAGUUUGUCUCCUCAAAGCAUGUUUGGUGAACAAACUCCUGUGCUUCACCUACAUAUGCUCUUUCCUUUCAUCCCUCUUUGUCACAAAGGAAUCUGAGAGGCCCCGAGGAUCCCAGCUUCAGCAGCAUGCUCCAUGGAUGGAGAGGAUCUGCGUGGUCUCAGCCACUUGCUCCAGGGUGGCCCACAGCACAAGGAGGGGAAUUACAGUGGGUGGCUGUCUGCAGGCAUGCCCUGCAGUCCAGGAGCUAGAAAUUACAACCCCUCGGAGGGAAGCUCAGGAGGCAAAUUUAUCUGCAUGCAGCAGCUGGGAAAAAGAAGUAGGGCAAUGGGGAAGUCCCACCUCCCUUAAGGAAGAAUGGAGCAGCUUUGCUGUUUGCCUCUCCCAGGGUGUGGAGAGCAACACUUGUGUAUUGUAAGAAGGUUCCCCAGCUGGUCUUUGACCUAAUAAACUCCAGGACAAAUGAAAUACAUUUCAUUAUCAGCAUCUAUCACUGACGUAGGCCUCUCAGUCCCAUAAAAUUUCAUUGCAUACUCACCUGUACAUGGUACUGUGAAGUCUCAUGCAUAAUGAUAUUGGAGUUGGAAUAUUUUUUCCUUUGUUCUGAAAAAAAAAAAGACAACAAGCUUUCAGUUCAACGUCUGUUUAUCAGAAUAUUAGGGAGAAUUAUAGUUCUCAUGGUGGGGUGCUAUUCUCUGAGCUUCCAGUUUCAAUCAGUGUUGAGAAUCAAGGACAUCAACUUUUGUCUCGAAGAUUGGCAAAUUAGGUGUAUAGGAUGCACAUUCAAGUUGUAUCCUGUAACGUCACUGCUAAUUUGAUUCCAGCACUGGUUAUGGAGGAAAUGAAAUCUUGUGUACGGGGAAGCCUCAGACAACAAGUGACAAGGACACUCGUGGAAGAGGGCUGGGAAGAAGAGGAACAGGCUGAGCAGGCCGGCACAGGGCUGUUACGUGCAUGUGGCAAGAAAUAAAAUCCAGCCACAAUCCUCCAGUUUGGACACAACAGCCCAUUUACAUGUCCUCUAGACUCGAGAAGGAACCCUCUGCGCCGCUGUGACGUUGCUGGUUUGAUUUCUUACAUUUCUUACUGGCAAGGCACAGUGUAGGGCUGAUAGGAAGGGCUGUACGGAUCAAGGCCAACCAGUCAGAGCCUGGCUUUUUUGAACAAUAUUUUUAUGAGGCAACAAAUCUUUAUUACUUCCUGCAUUUCUCACUGGAAAGCAGCACUAAGAGCAAUUGGAAAAAAAUACAUUGCUUGGAUUUUAAUGAGGCUAUGGCAUACAAUCCUAUAAGAUUUUACCCUGUCAGGUUUUACUCAUAAAUUAAUUGGUAUGUGUCCAGUGAGUCCUCUACUCCUCUACCAGGUCUCAAGUCUCAGAGUGAUUUGUGACUAACCAAACUGAAAACAUCUUCCUCACCAGCAGAGGACAUCCUCUGAUCUCUGGUUUGCUUAGAAAAUGUAAUUGUCAUGUUAUAUGUUUUCACCCAUCCUAAGCUGGAAAUAGCUUGUGUUAUAAUAUCCUGGCCUCUGCAGCAAUAGUCACAACCAAGAGGAUUUCAUGGCACAGCAAACUCUGGGGCUGCUUGUGUUUUAAAUAAAUAUAUAUUAUUCUUA
This is a long non-coding RNA of Anas platyrhynchos (mallard), 3021 nucleotides long. RefSeq lists it as uncharacterized. The record is from RefSeq and is a predicted model, not a curated record. NCBI's taxonomy places the organism in Eukaryota, Metazoa, Chordata, Aves, Anseriformes, Anatidae.